RNAcentral lists this transfer RNA (72 nucleotides) under Armillaria ostoyae. It matches the Rfam family "tRNA". Rfam says of the family: Transfer RNA (tRNA) molecules are approximately 80 nucleotides in length. Their secondary structure includes four short double-helical elements and three loops (D, anti-codon, and T loops). Further hydrogen bonds mediate the characteristic L-shaped molecular structure. tRNAs have two regions of fundamental functional importance: the anti-codon, which is responsible for specific mRNA codon recognition, and the 3' end, to which the tRNAs corresponding amino acid is attached (by aminoacyl-tRNA synthetases). tRNAs cope with the degeneracy of the genetic code in two manners: having more than one tRNA (with a specific anti-codon) for a particular amino acid; and 'wobble' base-pairing, i.e. permitting non-standard base-pairing at the 3rd anti-codon position. Lineage: Eukaryota; Fungi; Basidiomycota; Agaricomycetes; Agaricales; Physalacriaceae. The record is from RNAcentral.
UCUCUGGCAGUAUAUCGGUUAGUACACGCGCCUGUCGCGCGCGAAAGCUGGGUUCGACUCCCAGCCAGAGAG